GUGUCAGCAGCCGCGGUAAUACGAAGGCUGCAAGCGUUAUCCGGAUUUAUUGGGUUUAAAGGGUGCGUAGGCGGCCUUGUAAGUCAGUGGUGAAAUACGGCAGCUUAACUGUCGAGGUGCCAUUGAUACUGCAGGGCUAGAGUACAGAUGCCGUUGGCGGAAUGUGUCAUGUAGCGGUGAAAUGCAUAGAUAUGACACAGAACACCGAUUGCGAAGGCAGCUCACAAAACUGUAACUGACACUGAGGCUCGAAAGUGCGGGGAUCAAACAGGAUUAGAUACCCUGGUAGUCCGCACCGUAAACGAUGAUUACUCGUUGUCAGCGAUAUGACAGUUAGCGACCAAGCGAAAGCGAUAAGUAAUCCACCUGGGGAGUACGCCGGCAACGGUGAAACUCAAAGGAAUUGACGG
This 410-nucleotide ribosomal RNA is filed under the name uncultured bacterium. RNAcentral's name for it is "bacterial SSU rRNA". It matches the Rfam family "Bacterial small subunit ribosomal RNA", at positions 505 to 916 of the family's 1533-position model. The record is from RNAcentral.